This 468-nucleotide ribosomal RNA is filed under the name uncultured bacterium. Its description in RNAcentral is "partial 16S ribosomal RNA". It matches the Rfam family "Bacterial small subunit ribosomal RNA", at positions 28 to 507 of the family's 1533-position model. The record is from RNAcentral.
GACGAACGCUGGCGGCGUGCUUAACACAUGCAAGUCGAACGGAAAGGCCCUGCUUUUGUGGGGUGCUCGAGUGGCGAACGGGUGAGUAACACGUGAGUAACCUGCCCUUGACUUUGGGAUAACUUCAGGAAACUGGGGCUAAUACCGGCUAGGAGCUCCUGCUGCAUGGUGGGGGUUGGAAAGUUUCGGCGGUUGGGGAUGGACUCGCGGCGUAUCAGCUUGUUGGUGGGGUAGCGGCUUAGCAAGGCCAGGACGCGUAGCCGGCCUGAGAGGGUGACAGGCCAAGUUACGACGGAGAUGCGACACGGACUAGAACGGGACGCAGCGGUGGGGUAGGGUACACUGUAGGCGGGAGGCUAGUGCGGCAACGCCGCGUGGGGGAUGUGAGGCAGCGGGUAGUAAUGCGCUGUCGCUUGUGACGAGACGUGAAUGACGGUAACGGGUGAAGAAGCACCGGCUAACUACGUG